RNAcentral lists this long non-coding RNA (699 nucleotides) under Corvus moneduloides (New Caledonian crow). Its description in RNAcentral is "lncRNA (ENSCMUG00000008451.2)". The record is from RNAcentral. Lineage: Eukaryota; Metazoa; Chordata; Aves; Passeriformes; Corvidae.
CAGCCCUAAUUUGUUGACUUUUGUGUCAAUUGUAGCAGAUAAUUCUUGAUUUUCUUUGUUUCCAGGGGUUUUUUUGCUGUGCUCUCAAAGACUAUGGCUGGCUGGCCUGCAGACUGGGAGCUGCCUCUGCAUUGUCCUCCCUGGGCAACCCUGGAUCCCUGCAGACUGCAGAGCUGCUGGAAGGCUCGAUGGGAUGGGAUGGUACUUGAAUCAUGCUGUCUCUCUUGCAGCUACAAAAUACUGUUACCACAGACUCAGAAGAGAUGCAGAGGAGAUCAGCCCAGGUCAAGGUCACACAAUUCCUGUGAUGUGAAUUCCCAUGCAGUCAAGAGGAUCCCACGAAACAGUGUGCUGGGAACAUACUCCACGACACAUACCAUGACAUAAGGGAAAAAGUAUCUUAUCCUUCCUUUCAGAAUCCAGUCUGAGAAGUGAUCAAAGAACUUAAAAAUAUCUCAUUAUGUUAUGUACAAUGUACUCAGUAAGUGUCUUGAUAAAGGUUUGGUCUAUUCCUGUGCUCUCCAUAAUGACUAGGAAAGUACAAUUUCUUCAAGCUUUGUAGAAGGGAUUUUGAAAAUUGAGUUUUCUAACUCAGAAACUCUGUCCACAGGAAGUGAAACUUAUUUUGAAUCAAAAAAUAACCAUUAAAUCAUUUCAAUGCAAUCAGCUCAGUCUUCAUAACCCAUUGUUUAAUGUAGA